UAACCCAUUAACAUUCCCGGGGAGUUCGCCGCAAGGUGAAACUCAAAGGAAUUGAGGGGGCCCGCACAAGCGGUGGAGCAUGUGGUUUAAUUGAAGUACGCGAAGAACCUUCCAGGUCUUGACAUAUAUGCAAAUUUAAGAGAUUAGACGUUCCCUUGGGGACAUGGAUACAGGUGGUGCAUGGUUGUCGUCAGCUCGUGCGUGAGAUGUUGGGUUAAGUCCCGCAACGAGCGCAACCCUUAUUAUCAGUUGCCAGCAUUAAGUUGGGCACUCUGGUGAGACUGCCGGUGACAAACCGGAGGAAGGUGGGGAUGACGUCAAAUCAUCAUGCCCCUUAUGACCUGGGCUACACACGUGCUACAAUGGAUGGUACAACGAGUUGCGAACUCGCGAGAGUAAGCUAAUCUCUUAAAGCCAUUCUCAGUUCGGAUUGUAGCUGCAACUCGCCUACAUGAAGUCGGAAUCGCUAGUAAUCGCGGAUCAGCAUGCCGCGGUGAAUACGUUCCCGGGCCUUGUACACACCGCCCGUCACACCAUGAGAGUUUGUAACACCCAAAGUCGGUGGGGUAACCUUUUAGGAACAGCCGCCUAAGGCGGGACAGAUGAUUAGGGGAAGUC
Molecule: ribosomal RNA, 618 nt
Filed under: Lactobacillus sp. 1-3-3
Lineage: Bacteria; Bacillati; Bacillota; Bacilli; Lactobacillales; Lactobacillaceae
Description: bacterial SSU rRNA
Rfam family: Bacterial small subunit ribosomal RNA
Source: RNAcentral